GUAACAAGGUUUCCGUAGGUGAACCUGCGGAAGGAUCAUUAUUGAAUUUUGAAGGAGCUGUUUGCUGGCCCCUUUUACCGGGCAUGUGCACGCUUCGCUCAAUUCCAUCUCCUUACCCCUGUGCACUCAUUGUAGGUCGGUCGGAAGGCCUUCCUAUGUUCUAUUAUAAAUAACCUCAUGAUUGUCGUGGAAUGCAUUGCGUGUAACGCAUCUUUAUACAACUUUCAGCAACGGAUCUCUUGGCUCUCGCAUCGAUGAAGAACGCAGCGAAAUGCGAUAAGUAAUGUGAAUUGCAGAAUUCAGUGAAUCAUCGAAUCUUUGAACGCACCUUGCGCUCCUUGGUACUCCGAGGAGCAUGCCUGUUUGAGUGUCAUGGAAUUCUCAACUCAACCCAUCUUUUAUUAGAUGGGCUGGGCUUGGACUUGGAGGAAAUAUACAUGCUGGCCCUGUGGGGGUCGGCUCCUCUUGAAUGCAUUAGCUGGGACCUCUGUGGAUCGGCUGCUCGGUAUGAUAGUAUUUCUAUGCCGUCGCUGUGAAGCUCUUUUGGCCUCGGCUUCCAACUGUCCCGUCCUGGGUACAACAUCUUUGACCUCUGACCUCAAAUCAGGUAGGAUUACCCGCUGAACUUAAGCAUAUCAAUA
This 641-nucleotide ribosomal RNA is filed under the name Jahnoporus brachiatus. RNAcentral describes it as "eukaryotic LSU rRNA". The stretch from base 220 to 373 matches the Rfam family "5.8S ribosomal RNA". Lineage: Eukaryota; Fungi; Basidiomycota; Agaricomycetes; Polyporales; Postiaceae. The record is from RNAcentral.